Molecule: ribosomal RNA, 1235 nt
Filed under: Escherichia coli
Lineage: Bacteria; Pseudomonadati; Pseudomonadota; Gammaproteobacteria; Enterobacterales; Enterobacteriaceae
Description: partial 23S ribosomal RNA
Rfam family: Bacterial large subunit ribosomal RNA
Source: RNAcentral
UGCAAACUGCGAAUACCGGAGAAUGUUAUCACGGGAGACACACGGCGGGUGCUAACGUCCGUCGUGAAGAGGGAAACAACCCAGACCGCCAGCUAAGGUCCCAAAGUCAUGGUUAAGUGGGAAACGAUGUGGGAAGGCCCAGACAGCCAGGAUGUUGGCUUAGAAGCAGCCAUCAUUUAAAGAAAGCGUAAUAGCUCACUGGUCGAGUCGGCCUGCGCGGAAGAUGUAACGGGGCUAAACCAUGCACCGAAGCUGCGGCAGCGACACUAUGUGUUGUUGGGUAGGGGAGCGUUCUGUAAGCCUGUGAAGGUGUACUGUGAGGUAUGCUGGAGGUAUCAGAAGUGCGAAUGCUGACAUAAGUAACGAUAAAGCGGGUGAAAAGCCCGCUCGCCGGAAGACCAAGGGUUCCUGUCCAACGUUAAUCGGGGCAGGGUGAGUCGACCCCUAAGGCGAGGCCGAAAGGCGUAGUCGAUGGGAAACAGGUUAAUAUUCCUGUACUUGGUGUUACUGCGAAGGGGGGACGGAGAAGGCUAUGUUGGCCGGGCGACGGUUGUCCCGGUUUAAGCGUGUAGGCUGGUUUUCCAGGCAAAUCCGGAAAAUCAAGGCUGAGGCGUGAUGACGAGGCACUACGGUGCUGAAGCAACAAAUGCCCUGCUUCCAGGAAAAGCCUCUAAGCAUCAGGUAACAUCAAAUCGUACCCCAAACCGACACAGGUGGUCAGGUAGAGAAUACCAAGGCGCUUGAGAGAACUCGGGUGAAGGAACUAGGCAAAAUGGUGCCGUAACUUCGGGAGAAGGCACGCUGAUAUGUAGGUGAAGUCCCUCGCGGAUGGAGCUGAAAUCAGUCGAAGAUACCAGCUGGCUGCAACUGUUUAUUAAAAACACAGCACUGUGCAAACACGAAAGUGGACGUAUACGGUGUGACGCCUGCCCGGUGCCGGAAGGUUAAUUGAUGGGGUCAGCGCAAGCGAAGCUCUUGAUCGAAGCCCCGGUAAACGGCGGCCGUAACUAUAACGGUCCUAAGGUAGCGAAAUUCCUUGUCGGGUAAGUUCCGACCUGCACGAAUGGCGUAAUGAUGGCCAGGCUGUCUCCACCCGAGACUCAGUGAAAUUGAACUCGCUGUGAAGAUGCAGUGUACCCGCGGCAAGACGGAAAGACCCCGUGAACCUUUACUAUAGCUUGACACUGAACAUUGAGCCUUGAUGUGUAGGAUAGGUGGGAGGCUUUGAAGUGUGG